RNAcentral lists this ribosomal RNA (450 nucleotides) under uncultured bacterium. RNAcentral's name for it is "partial 16S ribosomal RNA". It matches the Rfam family "Bacterial small subunit ribosomal RNA", at positions 354 to 796 of the family's 1533-position model. The record is from RNAcentral.
GUGGGGAAUUUUGGACAAUGGGCGCAAGCCUGAUCCAGCAAUGCCGCGUGCAGGAAGAAGGCCUUCGGGUUGUAAACUGCUUUUGUACGGAACGAAACGGUCCUGGUUAAUACCUGGGGCUAAUGACGGUACCGUAAGAAUAAGCACCGGCUAACUACGUGCCAGCAGCCGCGGUAAUACGUAGGGUGCAAGCGUUAAUCGGAAUUACUGGGCGUAAAGCGUGCGCAGGCGGUUUUGUAAGACAGGCGUGAAAUCCCCGGGCUCAACCUGGGAAUUGCGGUUGUGACUGCAAGGCUGGAGUGCGGCAGAGGGGGAUGGAAUUCCGCGUGUAGCAGUGAAAUGCGUAGAUAUGCGGAGGAACACCGAUGGCGAAGGCAAUCCCCUGGGCCUGCACUGACGCUCAUGCACGAAAGCGUGGGGAGCAAACAGGAUUAGAAACCCGAGUAGUCC